GUCUACGGCCAUACCACCCUUAACGCGCCUGAUCUCGUCUGAUCUCGGAAGCUAAGCAGGGUCGGACCUGGUUAGUACUUGGAUGGAAGAAAACAGCGUAAAAC
Molecule: ribosomal RNA, 104 nt
Filed under: Neogale vison (American mink)
Lineage: Eukaryota; Metazoa; Chordata; Mammalia; Carnivora; Mustelidae
Source: RNAcentral